RNAcentral lists this long non-coding RNA (2130 nucleotides) under Pandoravirus salinus. RNAcentral describes it as "putative ncRNA". The record is from RNAcentral.
UUUUGUGUGGGGAGAGGGCCAAGUCGUCUAUAUUGUCAGAGUAGCAUGCCUUGCGAUGACGGGCGUGCGCCAGGAUGAAAACGGAUCAGGGAAAAAGGGCAGCAAGGGGUCCGAGGCGGUUCGAGGCGGCGCCGGCGUCGGCCAGAUCAUCGACUUGGAGGUCUGUGAGACCGCUGCGGAGGGCGGCGAUGGCCAUGAGGAUCUGGACACGGGGUUCAAUGGCAGUGGCGGCCGACGGGUGAUCGGGCCUGACAUUAUGCGCGUCGUUGGCCUCGACGAUGAGGGCGCGUGCACGAUCGACGACGUCAUGGACAAACGAUAUAGUGCCGAUUUCGCUGAGCCACUCAUGGCCGUCGAGGACGCGGUCGACGAGGCCGGCCGGGUCGGGCGUCCAGAGGAAGCGUGUGAUUUUAGGCGCGGCGCAGGCGGCGGCAAUGGCCGCGUGCUCGUCGUCGGUGAGCAACAGUGGUCCGACCCUGGCUACGGACUCGGGCACGAACCGGGCGCCGCCGCGCAUGCCGCGAGCGACGGCGACGUGGGCCAGCGCGCCGCAGAGCGAGUGCGGCUCACGCUCUUGGGCGGUGGUGGGCUGCACGCCCCAGUGGGAAGCGACGUCGAGGAGACGAUUGGCCGCUUGGGUGGAAUCCGAUGCCUCGUGGUCAUCAGAAGAACCAUUCCAUGCAGCGUCGGCCGCCGCGCAUUCGGCGAGCCAGAUGUCAAAUGCGAGCGGAUCGGCGACUUCGGUGGGGAGGAUUGCAAGCGGUACGCGUGCGCCGCUGCGCACAAUGGCGGCGCGCGAUCGUGCCGCAAGAGUCGGCGGACAUGUCGGGCGCCGUGUCGUUGUCACGCCGUCGUAUGGCGUCGUACGAUUGGGGGCGUGUUUUCGGCCCCGGUCGGCUUCGUCAGCCAUGGCGUCGUCAUCGUGAUCCACCGCUGUCGUCAUUGAUGGUGGGUCGGCGUGGGCGGGGGCCAGUCGGGCCAGCGAGGCGGCAUGCGAGCCCGCAGCGGCCGCCAAGAGGCCCUGCAACUCGUGCGCGCCGAGCCACGCAUAGCGAGUGCCAAAAAGGGCGCCGGCCGUGUCCAUGUGGGUCCUGACGACAGCGGGCGGGAUAGCGGCUGGCGAGGCGACCACCCUCAUGAGCGAGCGCACUGCGGUGCAGGGCGUGCGACGCCAUAGGUGGGGGCACCGCGGAAAGAACUCGCCCUCGUACGUGUCGUGCGCAUCAAGCACGGCGGCGAGGAGCACGGGGACGAACCCAAUAUAGGGGCGCAGCGGCAGCGGCAGGGAAGCACCGGUUGGAGGCGGGAGUAGACGCAGGGCGAAUGCGCUCUCGGGCGCGGGUUCGCGGUACAUGCGGCCGACGAGGAUGCCGACACCGUUUGCGGCGUCGCCGCGCGCAAUGCGCACCAGGACGGCCCUUUCGUAAUAGUUGUCGUGCCCCCUGUGGAGCAGCAGAAACUGGUCGUCAGCGCCGGCGCACGACGCCGUCGGGCCCUGAAACCGCCACUUUUCGGCCGUUGCGCGCUCGUGCGCUGCUGUACGCGCGGCGUCUCCGAGUGACGCGACGAGUACCGCCGGCGGCGACGAGACGCGGUGCGAGACUAUUAGGUGGCGCGGGAAAAGCGAGAGCGCGGCGUAGGAGAGGGCCAUGUCGUCUACGAGCGAUGCCAACGCCGAGCGCGACGGCGGCCAGGUGUUCACGUAGGCGCGGGCGGCUUCCAUGGCAUCGGGAUCGGCCUGGAGGGUCUGCCACACGGCGACGAGGUCGUCGAUGGCGAGGUCGCGCCCGCGCACAUCGUCGUCAUAAGAGAUGCCAGCCGCCUCCAACACCUUGCGGCACUCGCGCUCUUCCUUUGCCUCGCUGUCUGACGGCGACGGCAGCGUCGGGCGGGCGCACAGGGCGUGCAGGAUGUCGGCCGCGCGGUCGAUCCACUUGCUUCCAUCGGCAUAGGUGUCGGCGUCGCGCAAGCGUUCCAAGUCGGCAAUGUCGCUCUCCAAGCGCCACCGGCGCUCCCAGUCCGACAGCGUCGGUUGCAUUCCUGUCUUUAGCCAGUCGGCCCUUUUCCGCCUUCUUCUUGCCUUUGAUGGCUUUUUUAGUUGCUUGAUUAUAGAGGAGCACGAGAGACGCU